GUAGUUAGAGAGCUCUCUUACCCACCCACCCCCAGCCCCGCAGAGGUCCAGUUCACUGCCUGAUUGAGAGCAAGGAUUUAAGACCAUAUAUCUUGGAUUUCAAUACAGUGAACUAGCUCGACGCUCCUCCUCCUGUCUAGGUUUUGUGUAAGGAAAGGAUGAUCUGCAUACAUCUAAUUCCACAACAGACUUCAGAGCUACAAAUGCCCUGUGGCGAGACACACCUAACUUUAAGCCUGGGUUUAGAUACCCAUUUCAAGCCUGGGUUUAGAUAUCCAUUUCUUUGACAGACAUGGAAAUAGUAUCAAAUACGGACCGUGAUCUAAAGGCCCUGCAUCUGCCCAGGAUUCAGGCGCCAAGAUACCUACCUCGAACUGGGUGAUGGCCAGAGGAAACGAGCCAACCACCUCCAGUGCUGUAUCAUUGUGCCUGAAUCCCCAGCACGAGUCCAGCUUACUCGGCUGUGUUAACUGUAGGUGAAAGCAAGAAGAUCUGAGAAAAUACAGCUCUGCAGUCAACCACCCAUGUUCCUCUUUCCUCUUGCCUAAUACAACAUGAACAGACCCAGGAAUGUAUUUCUACUCUUUCUGUUUUACUUCCUGGAUGAGGAGGACUGCCACACUGCAUCAGCAACGCCUGUACCAAGCUUCUAACUCAUACUUGCUGUAAAGUGCCUGGGGAAUGUGACUGCAUCUGGAAAGGAGGCACAGCAAUCUCUGUCUUCAGAGACACAGAAGACAGCACAAGGCCUUAGAGAAUUAAGAAAUAACUCAGAAAUACAAAACCCAUCCAGAGCAACCUCUACUUGGAAACAUAAUCCUCUGGCUUUCACUGUGAACAUGUUAAGAAAAAAGUCAACUUGCAAACAGUUAUUUGAAUCCUACUAAAAUAAACCUGCAUUUGUAAAAUCACCUCCGAUAAGGUCACCAGCCAAGGUGAAUCCACAGCAAUCUCUCAGGAGCUGUGACAGAACAAUAGACCCACCGCACAGAGCAGUGGGCAGGUACAUGGGCUCUGCUGCUCUAUCUCAGCAGAUAAGCAAUCCUUGGGACUUCAAAUCAAUCACAGGGAACAGCUAGCAGAAGAGGGAUGUCGGAUAGAUCUCCUCUCAUGCUUUUCUUAGCAGACCACCACAGGGAAAUACUCAGAUGCUGAAGGAUGUCUGUUUACUUAGAAGCAACUGAUCUAAAAAGAAGUGACAUACUAUAAUCUAGUCACGCAAACUGUCUCUAAGCAAUUAGACUGUCUUAUUGGUUUAAUGUUAUUUUAGGUUUAUUUUUGCUUUUGAGAAUUAGACUUGCUCCUUGAAAAACAUAGUAUGUGUUAUGCCACAUCAUACAUCCGCUUAUGAUGAUACCAAAGGAUAUUGUAGUCAUGCCACCAUUUUUGUAAGCUAUAUAACCUCAAACUGAACUGAGUCAGUCUUUUGCCUUUUUGAACUACAGAGGAAAAGAAAAUGUAAUAGGCUUUGUUCAGAACAUUUUCUGGAUACUAAUCCUUAACUUUUAUCUCCCGUCAGAAACACUGUAGAGGAUACUGGUGAAAAGUAAUUUGUGUGGCCCCAUUUAAA
Long non-coding RNA from Tyto alba (common barn owl), 1570 nucleotides. RefSeq lists it as uncharacterized. NCBI's taxonomy places the organism in Eukaryota, Metazoa, Chordata, Aves, Strigiformes, Tytonidae. The transcript is spliced from 3 exons. The record is from RefSeq and is a predicted model, not a curated record.